AGGACGAACGCUGGCGGCGUGCUUAACACAUGCAAGUCGAGCGGUAAGGCCUUUCGGGGUACACGAGCGGCGAACGGGUGAGUAACACGUGGGUGAUCUGCCCUGCACUUCGGGAUAAGCCUGGGAAACUGGGUCUAAUACCGGAUAUGACCUCCUAUCGCAUGGUGGGUGGUGGAAAGAUUUAUCGGUGCAGGAUGGGCCCGCGGCCUAUCAGCUUGUUGGUGGGGUAAUGGCCUACCAAGGCGACGACGGGUAGCCGACCUGAGAGGUGACCGGCCACACUGGGACUGAGACACGGCCCAGACUCCUACGGGAGCAGCAGUGGGGAAUAUUGCACAAUGGGCGAAAGCCUGAUGCAGCGACGCCGCGUGAGGGAUGACGGCC
RNAcentral lists this ribosomal RNA (384 nucleotides) under uncultured soil bacterium. Its description in RNAcentral is "bacterial SSU rRNA". It matches the Rfam family "Bacterial small subunit ribosomal RNA", at positions 26 to 416 of the family's 1533-position model. The record is from RNAcentral.